Long non-coding RNA from Mus musculus (house mouse), 1014 nucleotides. RefSeq annotates it as predicted gene, 34836. The record is from RefSeq and is a predicted model, not a curated record. The transcript has 8 exons. NCBI's taxonomy places the organism in Eukaryota, Metazoa, Chordata, Mammalia, Rodentia, Muridae.
GGAGAUUCUUCCACUGUAAAGUUAGGACAAAGGAUUGUCCCCCCACCCCCGCCCAGAGUAUCUCUGCUUCUGUCUGUUUGGGUAUUGUUAAGAUUGGGCAGCGACUCAUGAUUCCUGCCUGACAGUGUAAUUCCUUUCAAAGAAUGCUUGCUGAGCAAACUAAGACAGACUUCUUUUACCGGAGACUCACCAAGAGGGCAGGCCUGGCAGCCAAUAUGGUCUAAUUUCUCAGUGAUUAUCUCAGGUGUUUUGUCAUAGCAACUGAAAGCUGUUCAACAAAGAGGAGAAAACUAAUGUCUAGAGAAAACCUUAUAAAGGACAAGAAUAUGUACCACUUGAGACAAGAUUGUAACUUUUGGAACAAGACUCUAAAUAUAGAUCAAUAAAUGAAGAGCUUCCUUCUAGAGCUUCAAAGAACAAAUGUAUUCUACAUAUGUUCAGGUAUCCACAGAGUCCAGAAGAUAGUGUGAGAUCCCUUGGAGCUGGUGUUACAGAUGGUUGUGAGCUAUUUGAUAUAGGUGCUAGGAACUGACCUCUGGUCCUCAGGAGAACAGCUGGUGUCUACUCCUUCUGUAGCAGAAGAUGACCAGGGGACGAUCCUUUUGCCACAGUCUCCUGAGUGCUUGGAUUACAGGCAUGUACAGGCAGUCAUAUCUGACUUAUGAGGACUGAAUAUAGGGCUUUCGGCAUGCUAGGUCCCCUACCUUCUAAAGUCAGAGGUCAAAGACAAUGUAUAAGAGUUGAUAUCAUCCUGAGUGAGAUAACUCAGGACACACAUGGGAAAGAAUUUCCUGCACACCACCUGAAAUGCACUAUUACCAUCAGAACCACCCACGAUUUUCACUGUAGAAAUCAACUAUGCUUUCUGAGAGUAUACUGAAAACAGACACGAAUGAUACAAAGAAGUUGAAAAGGGAGUACUAUGCUGUAAGAUCUGGGAAUCUCUAUGAAGAGGUCUGCUAAAUACUAAAUGUUCUUCAAACAAGAAAAAUAAAAAAAGACAAGACUUACAUC